This 425-nucleotide ribosomal RNA is filed under the name uncultured bacterium. Its description in RNAcentral is "bacterial SSU rRNA". It matches the Rfam family "Bacterial small subunit ribosomal RNA", at positions 356 to 772 of the family's 1533-position model. The record is from RNAcentral.
GGGGAAUUGUUCACAAUGGGCGCAAGCCUGAUGACGCAACGCCGCGUGGGGGAUGAAGGCCUUCGGGUCGUAAACCCCUGUCGAAUGGGACGAAAUGCCCGCGAUCUAACAGAACGCGGGAUUGACGGUACCGUUAAAGGAAGCCACGGCUAACUCUGUGCCAGCAGCCGCGGUAAUACAGAGGUGGCAAGCGUUGUUCGGAAUUACUGGGCGUAAAGGGCGCGUAGGCGGCCUUCUAAGUCAGACGUGAAAUCCCCCGGCUUAACCUGGGAACUGCGUCUGAUACUGGAUGGCUUGAAUCCGGGAGAGGGAUGCAGAAUUCCAGGUGUAGCGGUGAAAUGCGUAGAUAUCUGGAGGAAUACCGGUGGCGAAGGCGGCAUCCUGGACCGGCAUUGACGCUGAGGCGCGAAAGCCAGGGGAGCAAA